This 85-nucleotide transfer RNA is filed under the name Leptospiraceae bacterium. RNAcentral's name for it is "tRNA-Ser". It matches the Rfam family "tRNA". Rfam says of the family: Transfer RNA (tRNA) molecules are approximately 80 nucleotides in length. Their secondary structure includes four short double-helical elements and three loops (D, anti-codon, and T loops). Further hydrogen bonds mediate the characteristic L-shaped molecular structure. tRNAs have two regions of fundamental functional importance: the anti-codon, which is responsible for specific mRNA codon recognition, and the 3' end, to which the tRNAs corresponding amino acid is attached (by aminoacyl-tRNA synthetases). tRNAs cope with the degeneracy of the genetic code in two manners: having more than one tRNA (with a specific anti-codon) for a particular amino acid; and 'wobble' base-pairing, i.e. permitting non-standard base-pairing at the 3rd anti-codon position. RNAcentral also lists the same sequence under 1 other name. The record is from RNAcentral. Lineage: Bacteria; Pseudomonadati; Spirochaetota; Leptospiria; Leptospirales; Leptospiraceae.
GGAGGGAUGUCCGAGCGGUUUAAGGAGGCGGUCUUGAAAACCGUUGUGCAGCAAUGUACCGUGGGUUCGAAUCCCACUCCCUCCG